UUGGCCUACGGGGGGCAGCAGUGGGGAAUAUUGCACAAUGGGCGAAAGCCUGAUGCAGCAACGCCGCGUGAAGGAAGAAGGUCUUCGGAUCGUAAACUUCUGUCCUUGGGGAAGAUAAUGACGGUACCCUUGGAGGAAGCCCCGGCUAACUCCGUGCCAGCAGCCGCGGUAAUACGGAGGAUGCGAGCGUUAUCCGGAUUUAUUGGGUUUAAAGGGUGCGUAGGCGGAAUGCCAAGUCAGCGGUAAAAUCGCGGGGCUCAACCUCGCUCCGCCGUUGAAACUGGCGUUCUUGAGUGGGCGAGAAG
RNAcentral lists this ribosomal RNA (305 nucleotides) under uncultured bacterium. Its description in RNAcentral is "bacterial SSU rRNA". It matches the Rfam family "Bacterial small subunit ribosomal RNA", at positions 334 to 657 of the family's 1533-position model. The record is from RNAcentral.